GCAACAACAAAUUAGAAAAGAAGAAUUGAUGUUGAACUUCUGAGCAAUGGAUUCUUAAUUUCCUGGGCCUGGAGCCGGCCUAAUUAACAUGUCAGGUGGGAACUCGUGGCACUGGCUGGCCGUGGCUAUUAGGAAGAUGACCGGAGCAGGGAGCCCAAGGAACCAUUCUUGGUGCCACUUAUAAAGAAUGAAGGCUCUCACUGGGAGACAGAAAAGUUGGGGCUGAGACCAAGAUGGCUUCUUGUCGCGGCCGCUGCAGUGGUGAGCAUGAGACCAGCUCAGUGCUCAGUAACCCGGAG
Vombatus ursinus (common wombat) is the source of this 299-nucleotide long non-coding RNA. RefSeq lists it as uncharacterized. Lineage: Eukaryota; Metazoa; Chordata; Mammalia; Diprotodontia; Vombatidae. The transcript is spliced from 3 exons. The record is from RefSeq and is a predicted model, not a curated record.